Drosophila yakuba is the source of this 383-nucleotide long non-coding RNA. RefSeq lists it as uncharacterized. The record is from RefSeq and is a predicted model, not a curated record. The transcript has 2 exons. NCBI's taxonomy places the organism in Eukaryota, Metazoa, Arthropoda, Insecta, Diptera, Drosophilidae.
UGCUCAUACCGAAUCUCUCGCGCUGAUACUCCAACCAGGCGGCACUGGGCGUACUGAAGUCAUCACCCUGCUGGCUAGUCCCGAACUGUUGAAUGGCGCAGAAAUUCUGGCAAAACGGGGUCCACCGUUGCAGGCCAGUGAUCUUUUGAUGCACAUCGAGUUGAAGACACUUUUACUACCGGUGACAAAACAGCCAUGGGUAGAAAAAUAUUUGCAAAAUGUUUUAUAAGUAAUCAUUUUUACUUUAUACUAAAAGAGUGUUUUCUAAAGAAACAAAUUUGUAUAGUCAAUAAAGGGUUGAAAAUAAACCAAAGUUGUUAUUAUUAAAUACAACUCUUGUUUACUUGUUUGCCUUAUGUCAAAAUUAAAGAAUUUUAACUAAA